RNAcentral lists this ribosomal RNA (292 nucleotides) under uncultured bacterium. RNAcentral describes it as "partial 16S ribosomal RNA". It matches the Rfam family "Bacterial small subunit ribosomal RNA", at positions 505 to 796 of the family's 1533-position model. The record is from RNAcentral.
GUGCCAGCAGCCGCGGUAAUACGUAGGGUGCGAGCGUUAAUCGGAAUUACUGGGCGUAAAGCGUGCGCAGGCGGUGGCUCAAGCCAGGCGUGAAAUCCCCGGGCUUAACCUGGGAAUGGCGUUUGGGACUGGGUCGCUAGAGUGUGGCAGAGGGAGGUGGAAUUCCACGUGUAGCAGUGAAAUGCGUAGAGAUGUGGAGGAACACCGAUGGCGAAGGCAGCCUCCUGGGCCAGCACUGACGCUCAUGCACGAAAGCGUGGGGAGCAAACAGGAUUAGAUACCCUGGUAGUCC